RNAcentral lists this ribosomal RNA (484 nucleotides) under uncultured bacterium. Its description in RNAcentral is "partial 16S ribosomal RNA". It matches the Rfam family "Bacterial small subunit ribosomal RNA", at positions 30 to 507 of the family's 1533-position model. The record is from RNAcentral.
AUUGAACGCUGGCGGCAUGCCUUACACAUGCAAGUCGAACGGUAACGGGUCCUUCGGGUUGCCGACGAGUGGCGAACGGGUGAGUAAUAUAUCGGAACGUGCCCAGUAGUGGGGGAUAACUGCUCGAAAGAGCAGCUAAUACCGCAUACGACCUGAGGGUGAAAGGGGGGGAUCGCAAGACCUCUCGCUCUUGGAGCGGCCGAUAUCAGAUUAGCUAGUUGGUGGGGUAAAGGCCUACCAAGGCAACGAUCUGUAGUUGGUCUGAGAGGACGACCAGCCACACUGGGACUGAGACACGGCCCAGACUCCUACGGGAGGCAGCAGUGGGGAAUUUUGGACAAUGGGCGCAAGCCUGAUCCAGCAAUGCCGCGUGCAGGAAGAAGGCCUUCGGGUUGUAAACUGCUUUUGUCAGGGAAGAAAUCUUCUGGGCUAAUACCCCGGGAGGAUGACGGUACCUGAAGAAUAAGCACCGGCUAACUACGUG